This 468-nucleotide ribosomal RNA is filed under the name uncultured bacterium. RNAcentral describes it as "partial 16S ribosomal RNA". It matches the Rfam family "Bacterial small subunit ribosomal RNA", at positions 28 to 507 of the family's 1533-position model. The record is from RNAcentral.
GACGAACGCUGGCGGCGUGCUUAACACAUGCAAGUCGAACGGAAAGGCCCUGCUUUUGUGGGGUGCUCGAGUGGCGAACGGGUGAGUAACACGUGAGUAACCUGCCCUUGACUUUGGGAUAACUUCAGGAAACUGGGGCUAAUACCGGAUAGGAGCUCCUGCUGCAUGGUGGGGGUUGGAAAGUUUCGGCGGUUGGGGAUGGACUCGCGGCUUAUCAGCUUGUUGGUGGGGUAGUGGCUUACCAAGGCUUUGACGGGUAGCCGGCCUGAGAGGGUGACCGGCCACAUUGGGACUGAGAUACGGCCCAGACUCCUACGGGAGGCAGCAGUGAGGAAUAGUGCAAAAUGGGCGGAAGCCUGAUGCAGCAACGCCGCGUGCGGGAUGACGGCCUUCGGGUUGUAAACCGCUUUCGCCUGUGACGAAGCGUGAGUGACGGUAAUGGGUAAAGAAGCACCGGCUAACUACGUG